Marmota monax (woodchuck) is the source of this 506-nucleotide long non-coding RNA. RefSeq lists it as uncharacterized. The transcript has 4 exons. Lineage: Eukaryota; Metazoa; Chordata; Mammalia; Rodentia; Sciuridae. The record is from RefSeq and is a predicted model, not a curated record.
GCCUGGCUUCUGGGCAGAAAGGCUCGGAAAUGCAUGAAGGCUUGGUCGGGCUCCUACCCCGUGAGUGUGGUGCAGAUGGUCCUACCGAGGACGGGUGGCUGGUGGAGAGGUACAGACCACGUUUUCUGGACCCGUCCACCCAUGGAUACGUGCUCGGAUCGCUUCCCUGUUGUGAAUGAUGCUGUAGGAGUGUGGAAGUGCGGGUAUCUUCGUUUCUUUUGGGUGUAUAGCCUAGAAUUGGCAUUGCUGCAUCUUAUGGCUCCCGAAGACCUUGGCAUUCAUGACCCAGUUGAAGGUCAACAACCUUGGCAUAACCUGACCAGCUGCUGCCCCCUUGACUCAUCUGUGUGUUUCGUCUGAACUGUGGAGGGUCAGAUUUUUUUUUCUGCUGAGAAAAUCCAAGAUCAAAGUAACUGCCCUUUUGAUCAGCAUUGUCUACGACUAUCUGCAAUGAAGGAAACGUCUUCUACUCUGUAAUGUUCAAGAAAGGGGUGGCUAGCCAUGCA